RNAcentral lists this ribosomal RNA (471 nucleotides) under uncultured bacterium. RNAcentral's name for it is "bacterial SSU rRNA". It matches the Rfam family "Bacterial small subunit ribosomal RNA", at positions 28 to 498 of the family's 1533-position model. The record is from RNAcentral.
GACGAACGCUGGCGGCGUGCCUAACACAUGCAAGUCAACUUGACUGAAGGAGCAAUCUGACAGUAGAGUGGCGCAAGGGUGCGUAACGCGUAAGUAACUUGCCCCAAGGUAAGGAAUAACGUCGAGAAAUCGGCGCUAAUACCUCAUAAUGCAGCGGAUCCGCAUGGAUAUGUUGUUAAAGGUUUACCGCCUUGGGAUAGGCUUGCGUCUGAUUAGCUAGUUGGUGUGGUAAUGGCACACCAAGGCUACGAUCAGUAACUGGUCUGAGAGGAUGAUCAGUCACACUGGAACUGAGACACGGUCCAGACUCCUACGGGAGGCAGCAGUGAGGAAUAUUGGGCAAUGCUCGAAAGAGUGACCCAGCAACGCCGCGUGGAGGAUGAAGGUAUUCUAUAUCGUAAACUCCUGUGAGAGCAGACGAAAGACAGAUUAUUAAUCUGGAUGACUGUAUGCUCAGAGGAAGCCCCGGCU